RNAcentral lists this long non-coding RNA (4605 nucleotides) under Taeniopygia guttata (zebra finch). RNAcentral describes it as "lncRNA (ENSTGUG00000023698.1)". The record is from RNAcentral. Lineage: Eukaryota; Metazoa; Chordata; Aves; Passeriformes; Estrildidae.
AGACAGCUGAUGUUCUUUGUGAAGGAAUUGGGAGUUUGUUCUGAAGUGAAAAUUCUGCUAAUUUUCAGAAAUACUUAAAUUAUGAUGAUCUUCUUGACAUCUGUUAACUGAACCAGCAAAGAUAAUUAUGUCACCAUAUGUAUCCACAGUUCUCACACCCUUUUAACAAAAUUUGGAAAUUGGACAAAGCCUAACAAAGGUAGCAAGGGAUAUUGAAACUCUGGAGCAGUUGUCAAGCUCUGAAGUUUUCAAGGAAUGACCAACUGAGUAGACCGAAUUUCUCUACCCUGGGCAAGAAACAACUGAAGAUAUGUUGGAUAAAAACCUUUAAAUAACAUACAAAGGAUAGAGGAGCGGGGUGUUGAUUAUUCACUCUCUUCCAUAUAAGCAUUAAGAGUAUCAAAUGAGGACAGUAAAGCCACAAAUUAAAGGAGAUGGUUCUUCAGGCAAUGGGUGGUAGAAUUACCUACUCAACAUCCUUCCAAAGGACCUGGUUUCUGAAAGAGGUUGUCAGGAUUUUAAGGAUAAAUGGAAUGAAAGGCUUGGAAGAAAGAACCAUGAAGACCUUUCUAAACAGACAGACAAACUAUGUCAGGAAAAGCCCUGCUCUGCAAGAGCAGUUACAUACAGAAAGGAAGAUUUUGUAAAUAUAAUAUCAAAGAAUUAGUUUUCAUGGAAGAUGAGAAGUUACUUAGAAGCAUACUAACUAUUGCUUGAAGUGGGAAGUUGGAGACCAGAAAAGAGCCUCCAAACCUCACAGCCACGUUCAAACUGUAUGGUGACAUCAGAUAAAGUGUUAUGAGAAAACUCAAACGUUGAAACUUUAGAUAAAGAGUAAGAUGGAAUCUUACCAGACCAAGACACAUGUUCUGUAGUAUUGAUUAAUGAGUCAAGUCCAAAGAAUAAAUGGCGAUAAGAAGGCAUUUGGCCACAUUCAAAUUCCCUGAUUGAUGUUUUUAUGAAGACCACUAUGAGGAAAGUUAUCUUCUUAAAUUAUCUCAUGAAAAGGACAUUUCAUGGGUUUGCCUUCCAUGCUGCUAUAAUAGCCACAGAAAUGGCACAACCACCCUUGUUUCUGUUAUGGCUUCAGAUGGAUUGUAUUUGCGCAACAUGAUCACAGUACCUGGAAAAGACUCACUAAAAUUCAUUAGGAGGUCCUUUCUUUGGGACAAAUGUAUAGAACAUGCAUCGCUAGAACUGAGCCUCGCAGAGACGAGGGGAAAGCGGCCGCCCUCUCCUUCCCUCCUCGCCGUGCCCACAGGCGUCUGCCUGGAGGCGAUCUCGCACAGCUACAAAUGGUAGCAGAAGAUGGCUAUUUCCAUCGAUUUGUGAAAGGGGGGAGAGAGAAAGGAACUCUGCCACCGCAAGAGCUCUGCAGACGGUAAGAGGAGUGGAUUCGCCGGGCGGAAAACAAACUUGAAGCUCCGGGACCCUCUUCCAUCCUCGCCGGCGUGCUCUCUAACCCGCCCGGGAGCAGCCAUGCUGCGGGGGCAGCUGGAAUGCAGGGGCCGGGAGCCAGGUAGACUUACCUGAGGACAAAGAGGACAGUUUGGCAGUGGCUCGAUGGACUGAGCUCAAAGAGUGGCCCGUCAGGGGGACGGCAUUUGAACGGGGACAAGAGGUUGAUAGUGGCCGAACCCAGGGUUUCAAGGGCGAACUCUGGUUAACGGGAACACCCAGACUUUUGGCAGAGCCAAACUGCAAAAGAAUACAUUCUCAGUUCAGCGCGAUGUUCCACCACCGAGGAGAGAGAUAGAGAUUUCCCCAUCCAAGCUCGCAGGGUAAGUUGGGUCAGAGCAGGGUGGGGACCCUGGCGGGCGGCUGAGCUACCUUUUUUUCUUUUCUGCGUUUUAACCACCAUCAGCGUCCAGACGGGGGCUGUAGGCUUGCAUGUCCCUAGCGGCCGGGAGGCUUUUUCUUUUCCGAGGAGAACGCAACCUUGCUUGGUCUUUUUGGGGUAACUCAUACUGGAAAGCUCCUUCUCUUUCUCAGAAAGCUGCCUUUUCUACCCUCUCCUCCCUAUUCUGGGCUAUGGGGGCAGGGGGGGUCAAAAGGACACCAAUGGGACAGAAUUUUAAACGGUGACACGUCAGCUAUGGGAAAAUUGUUAACAUUCUAAGAGAGGCCCUUCACAUCCACGCAUUUCAUUGGCUUCCAGCCACAUCAGGCCCCUCUCCUGUAGAUUUUCCCCUCGGCUUCUGCGAAGCUCCCCCUUCCCUUUUCCCCACAGACUUCCCCAAACCUUCUCCCUUGGGGAUGGCAGCAGCCGAGCUGCCCCAAGCGCCCUGCCAGACACUGCUAUCCUCCCUUAGAGGCAGCAUUGGCCAUGACUCCCCGGGCGAGAUGCAGUGCACCCGGCACCACCCCCCCCCAAGAUGGUGCUGGCCACACUACAGGGACCCCAUUUUCCCGCCUUGACCCUUCUCUUCUGCCCAUGUUUUCCCGCCAGUCCCACCCCUCCCCCAAUGGCCCUGCACCGUCCUGCAGCAAGCCAGCCCCUAUUGUGGGGGAGGUGAGAUUGGAUUAAUCCCUCAGUCCUUCUUCUGGCUCCCCCUCUGAUGGGAGGGAUCGCCAGAGGGGUCCCUCCAUUAGAGGACCUCCCUUUGUAAGAGAGCUUUCCCCUUUGCUGUGGGGGGGGGCCACCUUCGAAGGGAGUGGAGCUGGAAACCUGGACCAGAGCUCCACUGCUUUCAUUCCCCUGAAACAGUGGCGCCCAGGUUCACCCCUUUAUCCCAUCUCCUAAAUGUACCUUCCCCAAAGUUCCCUUAUUAUUUCAAUACAAGUUUUCCCCCAUUACUUGUGAUAAUCUGGAAAUAAAUUAUUGGAUUGAGUUAUAUCUUAUAGAAGGAAAGAUCAUCCUCUCUAAUUACUGCCCACAAUGCUAUGCCAACUUCGCCAUCAAAUUGGAGAAACCACAUCGCUGUUCGCUGCCUGCUUCUGCUCUGCUAAAAUUCGAAAAACCACAAGCAUCGUGUCAUGAAUCCUGCUUUCAUCCUCGAUACAGAAUGUGUUUAUGAUAAUUCUGUACCCUUUAUCUUAAAUUGUAACGUGGAAAAUAUUUUUGCCCCAUUAAUUGUAACUAUGUCUGGUGUAUCACUUUCUGAUGUCUCGAAUUUGUUAGGUUGCUAAUUUGUUUUUACCUCAGAACACCCUUUCCUUUAUGUUAUUUCAAAAGAGUGAGCUGUAGGAUUUGUAAUUUUCUCUUCUUCCCCCCCCUCACUCCCCCUUCCCCCCACAGUCCCUUGUCCUGACCCUGCGUUCCCUUAUCACUCCCUCUCACCAUGCGGUCCGGUCCUGGUCCCCCGCCCCCCUGCCUUUCCCCUCACCACGCGGGCUGUCCCUGCCUCCCCCGCAGCUUUCCCGUCGCGGUCCCCGGGGUUUCCCUGCCCCUGUCCUCUGCCUCCCGUCCCAUUGGCUGCAGCUCAGGUUCCCCCCCGCCCCCGGCACAGGCUAUAACCGAGCCCCGCUCGGUCCCCUGGGGUCUCGGGGAACACGCUCCCACAAUAAACACGUGUUUGCACCUGAGCCCCGUGUUGCCAUUUCGUCUGUUCCCACGCAAACUGAGCCUCGCAGAGACGAGGGGAAAGCAGCCACCCUCUCCUUCCCUCCUCGCCAUGCCCACAGGCGUCUGCCUGGAGCCGAUCUCGCACGGCAACAACUGCCAUAACUUUUUGGCAUACCAAAUACCAGCUUUGAAGACAAGAGAAAGGUGGCACCUCUAGAACUCCUGAAAAGAAAUCACACUUAUAAGAUCUAGACCAAACUGGGAGAAGAAUGGGAGCUCUUACAAGAACUCUUUCCCACCUUGCAGGAACUUCCAGAACACCAGCUUGUGUCACUGAAUGACAUUAUCAAUUCUGCAAGCAAGGAUGAGGAGCUUGGCUCUGAGCAGCUUCCACUUUGCAAAAGCUGCUGCAGAAUCAAGCAUGUACCGCACACAUGGUAUGCAAGUCAUCGAGAAAGGAUGCUCUGUCUAACAACCUGUGGCUGGGUGAUGUUGCCAAAAAGACUAUGAAUCGUCAGCAGACUGGGAUUGCUGGCACCUACAGUCAUUGCAAAGCUGAAACUCCUGUGGAGGCAAUGAAUGUACAUGUGUUGGGGAAGGUCUCCUGCAUGGACUGUGAAAGUUACAAAAGAGUGCUCACGAAAAAGUUAAGGUUAACUGUUACUACAAUGUGCAAGGUCAUUUCAAUCUGUUUUGAGGAGCAAAUGAAAGAGAUUUAUUAUGUAAUUUAAAAUUAUCACAAUAGGCUGGGAUUUACCUCCCUGAACCUUAACUUUAGAACUUUAGAUAGAAUAAGACAUUAACCCUCCAGAUGGUGAUUCAUCUCAUCUCUGUUGAAAAGGAAUGAAUCAACCUCUGUUUUUAGUGCUUUCUCUGCUGAUUACAAGAAGAGCUGAGAGGAUUAGCUUAUACUUACCACUCUUCUGAACACAGGUUAAUCCACCCAUUCUGUGUUCCAGAUGUCACAUAGUUCAUCCAACAUGUUUUCAUUAUGGAAAAUACCACUAAUGUUAUCUACAUAGUGCUGUACAGAACCCUUUAGGACAAUAAAUGUAUGCCUUAAGCAGCAAAUAAUGAGACUAUAAAAACAGGGAACCAAA